RNAcentral lists this ribosomal RNA (425 nucleotides) under uncultured bacterium. RNAcentral's name for it is "partial 16S ribosomal RNA". It matches the Rfam family "Bacterial small subunit ribosomal RNA", at positions 354 to 796 of the family's 1533-position model. The record is from RNAcentral.
GUGGGGAAUCUUAGACAAUGGGCGCAAGCCUGAUCUAGCCAUGCCGCGUGAGCGAUGAAGGCCUUAGGGUUGUAAAGCUCUUUCAGGGGGGAAGAUAAUGACGGUACCCCCAGAAGAAGCCCCGGCUAACUCCGUGCCAGCAGCCGCGGUAAUACGGAGGGGGCUAGCGUUGUUCGGAAUUACUGGGCGUAAAGCGCACGUAGGCGGACCAGAAAGUCAUGGGUGAAAUCCCGGGGCUCAACCCCGGAACUGCCUUUGAAACUCCUGGUCUUGAGGUCGAGAGAGGUGAGUGGAAUUCCGAGUGUAGAGGUGAAAUUCGUAGAUAUUCGGAGGAACACCAGUGGCGAAGGCGGCUCACUGGCUCGAUACUGACGCUGAGGUGCGAAAGCGUGGGGAGCAAACAGGAUUAGAAACCCCGGUAGUCC